GGGCAUAUGGUGUAGGGGUUAUCACGUUCGCUUUGCAUCGCAGUGGAUGCGAAAGGUCUCCGGUUCAAAUCCGGAUUUGUCCA
This 83-nucleotide transfer RNA is filed under the name Lentinula edodes (shiitake mushroom). It matches the Rfam family "tRNA". Rfam says of the family: Transfer RNA (tRNA) molecules are approximately 80 nucleotides in length. Their secondary structure includes four short double-helical elements and three loops (D, anti-codon, and T loops). Lineage: Eukaryota; Fungi; Basidiomycota; Agaricomycetes; Agaricales; Omphalotaceae. The record is from Rfam by way of RNAcentral.